This 1435-nucleotide ribosomal RNA is filed under the name uncultured bacterium. RNAcentral's name for it is "bacterial SSU rRNA". It matches the Rfam family "Bacterial small subunit ribosomal RNA". The record is from RNAcentral.
AGAGUUUGAUCCUGGCUCAGGAUGAACGCCGGCGGUGUGCCUAAUACAUGCAAGUCGUACGCACUGGCCCAACUGAUUGAUGGUGCUUGCACCUGAGUGACGAUGGAUCACCAGUGAGUGGCGGACGGGUGAGUAACACGUAGGUAACCUGCCCCGGAGCGGGGGAUAACAUUUGGAAACAGAUGCUAAUACCGCAUAACAACAAAAGCCACAUGGCUUUUGUUUGAAAGAUGGCCUUGGCUAUCACUCUGGGAUGGACCUGCGGUGCAUUAGCUAGUUGGUAAGGUAACGGCUUACCAAGGCGAUGAUGCAUAGCCGAGUUGAGAGACUGAUCGGCCACAAUGGAACUGAGACACGGUCCAUACUCCUACGGGAGGCAGCAGUAGGGAAUCUUCCACAAUGGGCGCAAGCCUGAUGGAGCAACACCGCGUGAGUGAAGAAGGGUUUCGGCUCGUAAAGCUCUGUUGUUGGAGAAGAACGUGCGUGAGAGUAACUGUUCACGCAGUGACGGUAUCCAACCAGAAAGUCACGGCUAACUACGUGCCAGCAGCCGCGGUAAUACGUAGGUGGCAAGCGUUAUCCGGAUUUAUUGGGCGUAAAGCGAGCGCAGGCGGUUGCUUAGGUCUGAUGUGAAAGCCUUCGGCUUAACCGAAGAAGUGCAUCGGAAACCGGGCGACUUGAGUGCAGAAGAGGACAGUGGAACUCCAUGUGUAGCGGUGGAAUGCGUAGAUAUAUGGAAGAACACCAGUGGCGAAGGCGGCUGUCUGGUCUGCAACUGACGCUGAGGCUCGAAAGCAUGGGUAGCGAACAGGAUUAGAUACCCUGGUAGUCCAUACCGUAAACGAUGAGUGCUAGGUGUUGGAGGGUUUCCGCCCUUCAGUGCCGGAGCUAACGCAUUAAGCACUCCGCCUGGGGAGUACGACCGCAAGGUUGAAACUCAAAGGAAUUGACGGGGGCCCGCACAAGCGGUGGAGCAUGUGGUUUAAUUCGAAGCUACGCGAAGAACCUUACCAGGUCUUGGCAUCUUGCGCUAACCUUAGAGAUAAGGCGUUCCCUUCGGGGACGCAAUGACAGGUGGUGCAUGGUCGUCGUCAGCUCGUGUCGUGAGAUGUUGGGUUAAGUCCCGCAACGAGCGCAACCCUUGUUACUAGUUGCCAGCAUUAAGUUGGGCACUCUAGUGAGACUGCCGGUGACAAACCGGAGGAAGGUGGGGACGACGUCAGAUCAUCAUGCCCCUUAUGACCUGGGCUACACACGUGCUACAAUGGACGGUACAACGAGUCGCAAGCUCGCGAGAGUAAGCUAAUCUCUUAAAGCCGUUCUCAGUUCGGACUGUAGGCUGCAACUCGCCUACACGAAGUCGGAAUCGCUAGUAAUCGCGGAUCAGCAUGCCGCGGUGAAUACGUUCCCGGGCCUUGCACACACCGCCCGUCAC